AGCUUGGAUUUAUUCAAGUGGAAAGUGGCGGACGAGCGAGUAAUACAUAAGAAUCUGCCCUGUACUCGGGGAUAACCUGGCGAAAGUCAGGCUAAUACCGGAUAGUCUCGAAAGAGUAAAGAUUUAUCGGUACGGGAGGAGCUUGUGGCUUAUCAGCUAGUUGGUGGGGUAAAGGCCCACCAAGGCUAUGACGAGUAACUGGUGUGAGAGCACGACCAGUCGCGAUGGGACUGAGACACGGCCCAUACUUC
Molecule: ribosomal RNA, 251 nt
Filed under: uncultured bacterium
Lineage: Bacteria
Description: partial 16S ribosomal RNA
Rfam family: Bacterial small subunit ribosomal RNA
Source: RNAcentral